AUACAUUGACACUGAACAUGGAGGCAGCCAGGCCCGUUUCCUCCUUUCAAAAGUCAACCCUUCACAGACUCAUAAUAAUAUGUAUGCCUGGGGGCAGAAGUUAUUCAACAAAAAGAAGAAAAAAGGAAAAAUAAUGUAGAAACAUAAAGCAUACGUGGCAAAAUGUUAACAGUCAGUGAAUGAGUCUGGAGCACCUAUUCUUACAGAUGAUGUUAGUUUACAAGUGUUUAUGGAUCACUUGAAGAAACUUGCUGUGUCCAGUGCUGCUUGAAGUGCUAAUAAUGUUAAAGACACUUAAGAAGAUGAAAUAAUAUUCAAAUUUCAUUUUUUCCUUUUUCCAUUUAUCUGUGGAAACCAACAGAUAUUGCUCUAUAUUUUUUGUAUUAGUAUGGUUUGAGACAACAUAUGGAAAAUGUUCACAUUUGUAGAUUAAGCUGGAAUUAUAAUGAGAGCAAUAAGAACAAAUUUAUUUUGCUUACCACAGUGUUAUAGCUGGUUCUAGAAAUUUGAAGUCUUUAUAACUUAAUUAUGUUUAAUAAAAAAUAGAGUCUGCCUCGUACUACAGAUGUAACUCAUUUGUAUAUUGCAGACAGACCCAAAGUGGCACUGAAUUUUCUUGCUCACCUUUUAAAAACUUGUUCCUUAAUUUUAGCCAGAAAGCAAAAAAACAAUAGUAAUGAUAAAUGUGAACAUUUUUGCUUAUUCAUUGAAUAUUUUUCUGUAAUUUUCAGCACUUAUGUAUACACUUUUUCUGUACUUACUAGGUUAAGGCAGAUUUAUUUUUAUGAUUUGUUUAGGAAUUAUUUGAUUUUAUAAUGGUAAUUUUCAUGAUGAUAAUGUUUUUGGUUAUUUGGAAAGAUAGUUUAGAGAUGAAAGGUUUUUUUGGGUAACAAUCCCGCAGCUGACAAAAAAUGUGAAAUUUCCACAAAAUAUCCAACUUAUGUGACUAAACGCAGUAGUUUUUUUAAAAGGGGAGAUAGAAAAUAAAUGGUUUUGUUGGAGUGCAUUUUAGUAAGCCUUUGCAGUAAAAUGACGGUUGUAACUACUAAACCAAAUUUAGUUUUCACAGCAUGGUUUUGUUGUUUUCCCCUUGUUUUUCAGAGGUAAAUUUUGCAUUAUAUCCUUCAGUAUUUUAACACUAUUUUGGCAGUUUACACAUUACUUUUUGUUUUUCCUUCCUUUUUGUGAAAUGUAUUAAGUUGUGGUUCUUAUUGAAACAGUAUUAUAUAAUGUUUGCUUAAUUAUAUCAUGUGAUGCUCAGUUCUAUUUUGAUUUAUUCAUUAGUAUUCACUUUUACCUUUAAAGUUUACUUGUAGCAAAUAUGUUUACAUUGAUAAAGCCAGAUAUGUUUUGACAAUGAAAUUUACAUAUCAAGUACUGCAAAUAAAAGGUGGUGCUAUGAUAUAUGCUUAGGAGGACAGUUUUAAUGAUUGUACUUGCAUGAACACAAUCAUAUGAUGGUAAAGCAGAAACUUAAGAAAAAAUUGUUUAUGUGUUAUAUUCAAUUAGCUUAAAUAAGUUGCUUUGUUAUAUUUUAUUUGAAUUGAACUACGCUAGGCCUAAAUGCCAAUAAAAUAUACUUUUCACUGUU
RNAcentral lists this long non-coding RNA (1591 nucleotides) under Homo sapiens (human). RNAcentral's name for it is "long non-coding RNA NONHSAT169244.1". The record is from RNAcentral. Lineage: Eukaryota; Metazoa; Chordata; Mammalia; Primates; Hominidae.